GCUGGCGUAGCUCAACGGCAGAGCAGCUGAUUUGUAAUCAGCAGGUUGUAGGUUCAAUUCCUAUCGCCAGCU
Non-coding RNA from Deltaproteobacteria bacterium, 72 nucleotides. NCBI's taxonomy places the organism in Bacteria, Pseudomonadati, Myxococcota, Myxococcia. The record is from Rfam.